AUACGGAGGGGGCUAGCGUUGUUCGGAAUUACUGGGCGUAAAGCGCGCGUAGGCGGUUUAUCUAGUCAGGCGUGAAAGCCCCGGGCUUAACCUGGGAACUGCGUUUGAUACUGAUAGACUAGAGGCCGGGAGAGGGUAGUGGAAUUCCCAGUGUAGAGGUGAAAUUCGUAGAUAUUGGGAAGAACACCAGUGGCGAAGGCGGCUACCUGGACCGGACCUGACGCUGAGGUGCGAAAGCGUGGGGAGCAAACAGGAUUAGAUACCCCAGUAGUCC
Molecule: ribosomal RNA, 274 nt
Filed under: uncultured bacterium
Lineage: Bacteria
Description: partial 16S ribosomal RNA
Rfam family: Bacterial small subunit ribosomal RNA
Source: RNAcentral